RNAcentral lists this long non-coding RNA (225 nucleotides) under Linum usitatissimum (flax). Its description in RNAcentral is "long non-coding RNA (LUSI_LNC000281)". Lineage: Eukaryota; Viridiplantae; Streptophyta; Magnoliopsida; Malpighiales; Linaceae. The record is from RNAcentral.
UUUGUUUCUUCCCAGUCAAGAAACUCUUGAGCCAUUUUCCAGUCUUCCCCAUCUCUGUCACGGAAAUGGAUCCCUUUGUGGCUGUCUCAAACCAGGAGCAUACGUUACAAGGGAGAAAGCAACAAAUGAAUUGAGGGAUGAAGGGUACCAAACCGGUAUACUUAUUCCUGUUUCUCUAUCUUCGUCUCGUGGUUUCUACUAUCUGAUAAGUAGCUUUCAUCGCCA